UUAUAUGAUUUCAGUAUACAAAACGAUUAAUUGAAUUAAUGCAUAAGACAAUGAAUAAACCAAGAAGAGAAAGAAUAAUGCGAACUUAGAGUAAUUGAUUGUCUUACUUAAGACAACUAAUUCGAAACAAAAAAAAAGAUGGCUAUAUGGAUAAUUUUGCAAUUGUGACUACGGCAUAACAAACGUUGUAAUAUAUGUACAAUUUAUAUAGCUACAUGUAUCGAAAAUCUAUAAUUAAUACUUUUAUUGAGACGCCGAAUGAAUAUUGCAACCGAUAAUAAGUUUACAAGGUUAAAUGCUCUAAUUGUCCAGG
Molecule: long non-coding RNA, 313 nt
Organism: Trachymyrmex septentrionalis
Lineage: Eukaryota; Metazoa; Arthropoda; Insecta; Hymenoptera; Formicidae
Exons: 3
Source: RefSeq, a predicted model, not a curated record